This 253-nucleotide ribosomal RNA is filed under the name uncultured bacterium. RNAcentral's name for it is "partial 16S ribosomal RNA". It matches the Rfam family "Bacterial small subunit ribosomal RNA", at positions 524 to 776 of the family's 1533-position model. The record is from RNAcentral.
UACGUAGGAUCCAAGCGUUAUCCGGAAUCAUUGGGUUUAAAGGGUCCGUAGGCGGUUUUGUAAGUCAGUGGUGAAAGCCCAUCGCUCAACGGUGGAACGGCCAUUGAUACUGCAAGACUUGAAUUACUAGGAAGUAACUAGAAUAUGUAGUGUAGCGGUGAAAUGCUUAGAUAUUACAUGGAAUACCAAUUGCGAAGGCAGGUUACUACUAGUUGAUUGACGCUGAUGGACGAAAGCGUGGGGAGCGAACAGG